GCCUACGGGGCGCAGCAGUCGAGAAUCAUUCACAAUGGGGGAAACCCUGAUGGUGCGACGCCGCGUGGGGGAAUGAAGGUCUUCGGAUUGUAAACCCCUGUCCUGUGGGAGCAAAUUAAAAAGAUAGUACCACAAGAGGAAGAGACGGCUAACUCUGUGCCAGCAGCCGCGGUAAUACAGAGGUCUCAAGCGUUGUUCGGAAUCACUGGGCGUAAAGCGUGCGUAGGCUGUUUCGUAAGUCGUGUGUGAAAGGCGCGGGCUCAACCCGCGGACGGCACAUGUUACUGCGAGACUAGAGUAAUGGG
Molecule: ribosomal RNA, 305 nt
Filed under: uncultured bacterium
Lineage: Bacteria
Description: bacterial SSU rRNA
Rfam family: Bacterial small subunit ribosomal RNA
Source: RNAcentral